Molecule: long non-coding RNA, 1404 nt
Organism: Setaria italica (foxtail millet)
Lineage: Eukaryota; Viridiplantae; Streptophyta; Magnoliopsida; Poales; Poaceae
Exons: 2
Source: RefSeq, a predicted model, not a curated record
CCCACAUCUAAUUUCGAGAUGCGCAGCGUGUUCAGAUGGGCACGGAUUAUGUUUCAUCCAUGUGACCAUUUUACAUCACAUCGUAUCCUGUACUUAUAGCAUUUCAAUCUGUACGCAUGAGGGGGAGCGGGGAGCAGGAUUGCGUAUAGAACAUAUCUGGAUAUCAGGCGCACAAUCGCCGGACCGAGGAGCACUGGCGGUGGUGCAGGGCGCGGGCAGGCCGUGUCCGCCGCUGCCAUAUCCAGGGCGGCACGGUGCGGAGCCAGUGGGGCGCGGGCCGCCGCCGGCCGCCACGGCGCGGUGUUGGGUUGUCGGAUCUGGGGAGGCCGGUCGCCGAUGAGGUGCGGCAUCGGCGUCACGCACGUGGCUUGGGGGCCAAAGGGGACCGACGCGCAGCCGCAGGACGGGGUGUGAUGGGGCAGCGAGCGCCUCAGGAACUUCCCCGCGCCGCCGCCUUCCCGUGCCACCUACAACGGUAGCAGCGCGUUGCCGGGAUGGCACCUAGCGGCGCAGAGACCACCAGUGAUCGGAUCCUGCGGCAGUGGGUGCGAGGGGCCUUGAUCCGGCAGCGCACGACGGCGGCGACACUUCCUGGCGCCGGCGCGGCUAGGAUCCAGGCGUGGACUUGCGAGCAGCAGCUCCAGCGCUUGUGCCCGCGGAUUCUUGCGCCCCGGUCGGGCGGCCGUCGUCACGCUCCAGCACGGCCACGCAUCCACGGCGAGCCCAUUGGCUCCCUUCCCCGCGCGUUGUUUUGCCCGCGCAGGACCAUGCUCCAAUCACCGGCCGGGGCGAGCGGCGCGGCGAGGGUCGUGGCAAGCCCGGACUUGGCCGGCACCAGGGGCACCCUGGCGCGACGGCCAAAGCUCGACAUGGCGAAGGUCCCCCGCCGCUAGGGUGUGCCGGAGCCAAGCCGCGUCAAGUCCGGCAUGGCGCAGGUCGGCCGCCGCAGCGCGAGGCCAUAUCGCAUGCGACGCAUCACGCGAGGCGAGCGCGAGGGGUGCAGCCACCGGUGCCCCUGCCUCGCAUGGCAGCACGCGGCCCUGGGUGACCUGCCCGGCGCGGGGGGACCUCGACGAGCACAACCAGCAAUCACGUGCGGUGACCAGAGGCAUGCCGCGACAUGGGGCGAAUCUUAGUUUUCUUUUUUUUCUUUUUUUUUGCUGGCACUGCUGGUUUGUCCUUUUUAAUGUGGCCGAUUGCUGUUUUAUGUUUUUCUCUCUCUUUUCUAGCCUUUUGCCGCUUCUUGUUUCUCUUUUUUUUUUCCGAUCUGGAUCUUGCGUAUUUUUUUCCCUUUGUGCUGUACAGAUUCAAGAGAUCUGGGGCAAUGACGGUGUAGCAGUACCUCUAUUCUUAUGUUCAUGCGUCCAUCGUAUUUGUCUGUUGUUCAUUUUCAUUUAUUGUUCA